This 1371-nucleotide long non-coding RNA is filed under the name Triticum aestivum (bread wheat). RNAcentral's name for it is "long non-coding RNA (TAES_LNC026677)". Lineage: Eukaryota; Viridiplantae; Streptophyta; Magnoliopsida; Poales; Poaceae. The record is from RNAcentral.
AAAAAGUUAAAUCAUGGAUUGAAAAAUACAAUCUAUGUUACAAUUGGGAGCACAUAGAUCCGUCAUUGGUAUACCAGGGGAAGUACAUCCCUACAAUAUAGUACUGUAACACAAUUGUAACUGAGCAACAAUGAGCCAUUGGAAGGUGUUCACCUAAAACAAUAUGUGGGUGUGGCAGCAAAAGUGUUCACCUAAAACAAUAUGGUGUCAUUAGAAAGCUCGUUAAUAAUGCAGCUGGAGAUAUAUCAUCGCUGAAACAAUGUGUUAAUCCCCAUGGUGAACCUUUGGUGCCAGAUCUUCUUCGUAUAAAUGUUGAAAAUAGACCGGCUCAAAGAUCGGAUGAGAUGGAGCCUAUGAUGGAAGCGUUCCCAUCCAUUAUAAAAAAUGAGUCGCUCUCUUCAAUAAACUUCACGGAUACUAUUUCUGAAACGGGAAAGCCAAAAAGCCAUAUAAACAUUUAUGUGUGCCCCAUGAGCAAGGUGGAGAAGAGCAUAGUUAGCUAAUCAAGAAGUGCGAAAUAAUACAUUCCUUGUAGACUUAAAAAUCAAUAAAUGUAAAUAUCUCACACCUAGAAGAUAACCACUUAGUUGGUUCAACAUAGGCAAAUUGCAGUGCAGUUGACCACAAAACACACGUUAGCAGGGAUUAAUUUGGUUGGAUUCAUAACCAAGGAAGACAUGCAGAUCUGCAACCUACCAAGGAUUGUGAAUGGAGAUGACUUCGUAUUAUACUGUUCCACACAUUCAAACAACAAUCUGGCCAGAGAAAAUUCUUAUAAUAAGCUUUCCCUGAAGGUGAGCAUUAUCUGAAGGUCACUCAAGGUGGCAUACAUGCAGGUAUCUCCUGUCGCCAAUUAUCAGUCUAUUACAUUUGCACCUACAAAAGGCAUAAAAAUCUGGAAUAAACAGUGGCAGUUAAAUCAAUAGUACUACAAAACAGCUACAUGGAAACAGCUAAUGCAGUCAAUUAUACCCACAAUCGAUGGACCAUCUGACCCCAAGCGCCAACAUCACGAAGUGCAGUUGACAAAUUUUACUCUGGCCCUAUUUUCCCUAUGCAAUCAGAUACAAGGGAAGGAAUACAUGUCAACAAAAAGUAGCGUUUAACAUGAUAAUAAUAAGACCUUUAGACGACGAUUUUUGUGUUACGAAGAGGAAUUUGAGAAAAGAUAGGAUGCCACUUUAUAGGAGGAAGGGGGGUUGUGUUGAUGAAAGGCAUAAUGGAUUUUGUUACAGAAAACAUUAACAAUGCACCAGUUGCCAAAUUUUGCCCUCACGGGUAAUGGUGAAGAAAAUACAAUACUUCCUUCUUGUUAUUGUAGAAUCUUCCUUUUGCAGUAUUGGCAGCAGAUUCUUGCAUACUCACUGGCAG